Molecule: RNA transcript, 5542 nt
Organism: Gallus gallus (chicken)
Lineage: Eukaryota; Metazoa; Chordata; Aves; Galliformes; Phasianidae
Gene: GLYCTK
Gene name: glycerate kinase
Exons: 10
Source: RefSeq, a predicted model, not a curated record
GGGGCGGUCCGGUCGCCAUUUUGAAGGCGGCGGUGGGAGGGACUGAGGGGCUGAUGUGCUCAGGUGCUUCAUGCUGAGCUUUCGCCUUCCUCUCUAGGGCUGCUGAUGCUGCGGCCCCAGUCCUCCAAAAGCGUAAAACGAAGCCCAUAACGCGGGGCUGGUGGGGAAAACCAGUGCUAUGUCAGUGAGGAAACGGGUUGGGGUUGGCGGGCGGCCUUCUGUGGGGCUGGAGUGCAUCCCUCAGGGGUUGGGGCUGGGAGGGUUGGCCCAGCCUUUAUCGAUGCUGCCCUCGUUCUCGUUCCUGCUGUAGGUCCACUUCGUUUAAAAGACUCGCUGACAGAAUUCCUGCUUUUAAAUGCCGUUUUUAGUCGUAUUGUUACACUUUUUCUUAUAUCUCAGCGCUUUAAUUUUUUCAAGCGGCCUUGAAGCAGUACCACGCUGAUACAAGGGCUAUGGCACUGUGGCCUUACAGCUCUGACAACACUUAAAGAACCUCCAAGAAAGACAGCUUGGCUCUUCAGGUUUUGGCACCUAGCCUGAUUGACCUCUUCCUAUUGCAAUGUCUGAACAAUUCCCCAAGUUUUGUUCUGAGAUGGAUGCAGGAUUUUAGCACCAGCGCUUCAGGAGCCUCCACAGAAUGCACUUCCAUUGCUUCGGAGGGUCUCAGGUUCAGCUACUCCAUUACAGCUCCACCAGGAGAGGAUUGCUUUUAAAUGACUUGUGCCUGCUGUGUCAUGUCUGGAGCUGGAGCUGAGUGGAGCCGCUGGGAGGCCAUGUGUGACAGGCUCUGCAGUUGCAGGAAAAUAAGGCAGAUUUAGACCCAGAGGAACUGUUGGAAAGCUUGUUGGCUUAAUGAUUAACACCUUGCAAUACUGUGGGAGUGUUAGGACAAAGAGACCUCUGGACUUGUGUGUUCUCCCAGAAGAGGAGGCAGAAGCUGGCCUUGCACCGAAACGCAUUCAUUCAGUAGAGAGAGAAUUAACUGGCAGGCUGGGGGAUCUUGGCUGCUUGAGGACUCACCAGUGUUGGCAACGUGUGUGCAAGCCCACCCCACCAAGCGGAGCAACUCAGCCUGGCCACCCUAGGCAGCAUGUCCCUCUGUGAGCAUGCGCUGUCCCUCUUCCGCAGCGCAGUGGGCACCGUCCGGCCAGCCCCAAUGCUGAAGAGGGCACUGAAGCUCCAGGGAGAGGGGUGCCCUCAGCUGCUGGUGAACAGCCGUGCUUUCCCGUUGAAGAGGGGCCUGUACUUGGUGGGGUUUGGCAAAGCUGUGUUGGGGAUGGCGGCAGCAGCAGAAGAGAUCCUGGGAGACCACCUCGUUCGGGGGAUCAUCAACGUGCCACUGGGCAUCCAGGAGAGCCUGCAGCGAGCGGGAAUGCAGGAGAUGCUGCUGAAGCCACACAGUAGAAUCCAGGUCAUUGAAGGUGCCAAGAACAACCUCCCUGACCCAGAGGCUCUUAGGGGAGCAAGUGCCAUUCAGGAGCUGGCUGAGGGCCUGACAGCGGAUGACCUGCUCCUUGUGCUCAUCUCAGGGGGUGGAUCAGCCCUGCUUCCUGCUCCCAUCCCUCCCAUUCUCCUGGAGGAGAAGGAGAAGCUCACAAAGAUGUUGGCUUCCCGAGGAGCUGCCAUACAGGAGCUGAACACUGUCCGAAAAAUUCUGUCUUUGCUGAAGGGUGGAGGGCUGGCCCGCCUUGCAUAUCCUGCACAGGUGGUGAGCCUCAUCCUUUCUGACGUGAUUGGUGACCCUCUGGACAUCAUAGCGAGUGGGCCCACUGCUGCCAGCUCCCACAGCGUCCAAGACUGCCUUCAGAUCCUGGCCAAAUACAACCUGCUGCACAGCCUGCCCGGCUCCGUGGAAGCAGUCCUCUCCAGCUCUCCCACCAAGCCCACUGCUGCAAAAGACUACUCCCAUGUUUGCAACAUCAUCAUUGGGUCAAACACGCUGGCUUUGGCUGAGGCCAAGCGCCAAGCAGAGGGCCUGGGCUACGUGACCCUGAUUCUCAGUGCAGGGGUCUGCGGGGACGUUGGCCGUGUUGCUGUGCUGUACUGCCAGCUGAUCUGCCUGCUCUGUCUGCGCUUGGCCGGCCUUGGGGAAGGGCCUCGGGGCUCUGAGGUGAGGGGGAAUCUCCUGCAGCUGGCGGCAGAGUUAGACAUCCCGGGCUUGAACGUGGCUGAGUUUCUGCAGGCCCUGCAAGGAUUGGAGCCCCAGAAACCGGUCUGCAUCCUGGCUGGAGGAGAAACCACAGUUCAGCUUCAAGGAACCGGGAAGGGAGGGAGAAACCAAGAGCUGGCUCUGCGAGUGGGGCUGGGGCUGCACAGGGCACGGGGUGUUGAGGCCAGCGGCCUGGGUAGGUGUGAUGUUGUCUUCCUGAGCGGGGGAACGGACGGGCAGGAUGGGCCCACAGAGGCAGCAGGGGCUUUCUGCAGCCCAGAGCUGGUGGCUGAGGCCCUGCAGGAAGGCCUUGAUGCAGAAACCUUUCUCAGCAACAAUGACUCCUAUACCUUCUUCAGCCAAUUCCAGCGUGGGCGUCACCUCCUGGUGACUGGCUUGACGGGCACCAACGUCAUGGACAUCCAGCUUAUUUUAAUUAGAGCCACAGACAGAUCAUGAGAGCUCCCUCUGCAGAUAUUCAGAUGCAUUUAAUUAGGAGCAGGGGUAAAUAAGGCCAUAAACAUUGCAGACGAAACCGCUUAAAUUAGGGCUAGUUGUCAAGGGUGCUAAUAUCUUUGACAGAAAGAGUCUACUAAUUAGGCAAAAGCAAAUCCACCGUAAAAGCAUCGAGAACAGUCAAGUUCUUGUAAUUGGGAUCAGAGGAAGGUAAGGAGUCACACUGUGGAUGUGGAUGUUGCAUUUAGCACUUCUGCAGAGAGCCACCGCUGCUGUGACAGCUUCAGCUGUGGGUGAAAGGCAUGGAGAAAGCGAGGCCAUGGCACAGCUGCUGGAGAGAGCUCCCGGUGUGGUGUGGGAACCCCCUCUGAUCCCGGGAGAGCCUCUUUGCCAGCAGUCUGUGUGUUAGGAGCUUCCAUGGUGUUGUUUUCCAACUGGCCGGAAAACAGUCGUGCAUCCUGCCUGAGCCACUGACCUUUCUUCUGUGCCGAGGCAGAAGUCGCUGUCACUCUGAUUAACUCUACUAAUUCUGCGGAACAAAAGGCAAGGAAGUCUUCAUGCUCAGCUCUCCUGACCCAUGUUGCUGAGCUGAUCAAAGGGCAAAGCUGCCAGAGCCUUGCUUUGACAGGGAGCUGCUCCCCCACGCCUCUGAGAACGCCGUGGUGCUGCCGGUUUCGCCACUGACUGCCGUGCGAUCCAUGGGAGAGCAGAGAUGAGUUGGGUUUCCCAGGACGUGGGGCUGAAUUUUAGCUGUGCUCUGGCUACCUAUUCAAAGGACUUCAGCUGAGCAGCCGGUAUGACCCAACACACUGAACUCCUUUGAAAAAUCUGCCUAUUUGUCACAGAGCCUAAGUGGGAGCUGAGCUCCUUUGAAAAUCCAGCCCUAAUUUAAUAGGACACGCUUGACUCAGACUCUUCCCAGACAGACUAGCCUGCUCCGUGUGGCUGAUCUAAUCUUGUGGCAUGAAUACUCUGUCCUGCCAGCACGAUGAGCGAGAUAGCCUUGUCUUUCUUCCUCCUUCUCUUCCUCGGUGUCUGUUCUGUCAGAUUUAAUGCAAACCUUUACAGAGCGGCGACGGCCUCCUGAGAAACUUUGGGGAGUGCUGCGUUUGGGGCAGCCCUCAAUGCUGUGGCCAUUCCCUGGCUCCUCUUCCUCCUCUUCCUCCUCCUGUGUGCUCAGUCACACAGGGAAGCUGCUGCAGGAUGGAGCAGGGCUGGCAGCGGAUGCCUUCCUGCGGCACGUGGGCUGCUCCCCGCUGUCGGACCCCAGCGCCUUGCACGGCUUCAAUCCCUAUAUGAAGCGGGAUGUAUAAUCACAUAGGAAUAAAAAGCCAUACAGGACAGUGAGGCGCUCCAUGCUCGGCCAGGAUGGACUCAGGGAGCCCCGUAGCUCCUCUGGGGGUCCAGGGGAGGCGGAGAAGCCCUGUGUGAAACAAGAGAGGUGUAUUUCAGCAGGGCAUGACCGCUCGCUCCGUGUCAACAGAGCCCAACCCCUGCACCAACCUGGGUCAAGCACCACUGUCUUAUCCUGGAGCAUCCCCGCGCUGUGUCUGCUUGUAUCACUGGCGCUGUUUCAUCCCCAAACACCCCCCUGCUGCAAACACGUGGUGGGGAGGAGAAGGGACUCACCCCACAGCCAUCCCCCUGCACUGGAGCAUCCCCACGCAUCCCCUCGCUGUCUGGCUGGGGAGAAGAGGAGUGAGCGGAUCCAGGGAGCUGUCAGCGCCCGGCACGCUGCUGUCAGAGUGCAAAUCCCCUGGCAGCCCAUUAGGAGCAGCUCCAGGCUGCCUGCAGGAGCUCUUGACAGGAGGCCAGACACCGGUGUGAACAAACACAGCUCCUCUGCUACGAAGGUGGACGUGGGCAGAAUGAAGCCAGGGAUCGCUUCCCCCGGGUCGCUGCUGUUUGAGGGAUGCUCACGGAGUGCAGGACCAGAGCAAGCGCCAGGGCACGGCAGUGCUGGAAACCCACCCAAGAGAUACGCAGCGAAGGGUCUGUGCCUCUGUCCCACAUUGCAGCAUCACCUUGGGCAGCUGCAGAGGUGCUGUGCCACCCCAGGGCCCCGCCAGCCCUCAGGGAACGCCACCGCAGCCACACGCCGCCAAUCCAAUCCACUGUGGGGCAGCACCGGGAGGCUCUGAUCCUCAAAUCCACCCCCAGGAGCCCUCCUCCGUCUCGGGGCCCGGGGGAGCAGCUCUGUGGGGUCUGUGAUCGCUUCUCCAACGUGUGGGACAGCAGGGCAAGGGGUCGUACGGAAAGCUGCGCCCGUGAAUCACUGCGCCCAGGCUGGGUAGGAACACCAACAGUGCCGUGUUUGGGAGUAAUUACUCUCCACGAGCGUGUGAAUCAUUAGCUAUAAUUGCCCUAAUAAAUAAAAGCGCGAUAACUUCAGUCUGUGGCCUCAUCCACAAGCUGCUGGCGGGGUGAGCUCAACCAGAUAAAACCAGGAGUGGAGGGAAGGCAGAAAGAGCUGAGCUUCGAAACCACGGCGUCACCCCACGUUGACCCAUAGGCUCUGUCCUGCGUGUGCCCGUUGGCGCUCAAGGGCUUCGGCACCACCUCUGCAUGGAGAAGAUUCCUCGCUGCAAAGGGGAGUGAAAAGGCUCUGUUUGGGGGUGGCACUGAGGUUACCCACACGCUCCUCCCCUGGGGAAUGCUGGAGUGAAAAAAUAAAGCCACCCCGCUCCGAGAUGACAUAUGGAAACGAAGCAGAAAGCGGCUUCUCCACUUAAAAUGUCAUCGUAGACUUUGCUCAGGAAAAAAGAAGCCUUCCCAGAGUGACAUUUUAAGGGGAAAUGUUGACUUCAAACCAGGAAGAAACCCCUCAAACCACACAAGGAAUCGUUUUAAGCCGCGCUGAGCCACCUUGCAUGGAAAUCAAUAUUUUUGCAGCAAAAAAAAGUACACAAAAAAACCCCCAAACUAUUAUCUCAAGUA